This is a long non-coding RNA of Cynoglossus semilaevis (tongue sole), 1555 nucleotides long. RefSeq lists it as uncharacterized. Lineage: Eukaryota; Metazoa; Chordata; Actinopteri; Pleuronectiformes; Cynoglossidae. The record is from RefSeq and is a predicted model, not a curated record. The transcript is spliced from 5 exons.
AGCAGCAGCAGCAGCAGCAGCAGCAGCAGUCGUCCUACAGUCCUGGAGCGGCAGAGAUCAUCAGGGAUUAGACUGCAGCCGUAAUCACUCUGUGGACUCGACCGCGGUCACUCAGGCAGCUGCCGCAGCUCAGUCUACAUUUGCUGUGUGAAUUCCAAUCCCCAGUGACUCCAGUUUCCACCUGUGACCACCAGAGGGCGACAGCGUAUUACAGAUUCGUGUCCAGAGUCUCAGCGGCGCUGGAGAGUCAGCUGUCAGCCCGCAUCUUCAGGAUGAAGGACACUUUUUUUUUGUUGAAGAGCUCCAUGUUCUUGCCAUCAGUGAUGACAGAUGGUUUGUGAGAGAAGAGAAAAAAAAGGAAAAAAAAAACCAUCAACUUCAACCUGCAGGAUCCAUGACUGCACAGAAGAGGGAGCUAAAGAAACCUCUGCCAGUUUCAACCCACUCUGUUCUCCAUGGAUGAUGUUUUCCAAAACUUCAUCUGGAGAAGAGUCAAGAGUCAGAAAUAACGGUUCCUCCACGUUUGUCAGGACUUCAGGUGGUUCCACAUUUUUCAGCCCACGGAGCAGAUUUAUUCUGCCAAAGUUCACGGGGUGAAGAGGAGCUGAGGUGAGUUAGAACCCGGGGGUGAGAUCGGUGACAGAGGCUAAAGUCAUUCAUCAAUGAGCGUGGAGCAGCGAUUGAUCACAGCGAUCAGAACCAUCCUGGACGUCAGGACGUCUCCUGUGGAAACGCUCCAAACUCUCACAGCUGGACGGUGAGUUUUUUUUUUUUAUUUUCUUUCUGUCGUUGAAAUGUUUUAAAUGUUUUCUUUCUGUGUUGUCUGACAGUGGUGCAGUGGCAGGACUCACAUCUGCCAGGCAGAAGGUUCCAGGUUUGAUUCCCCCGUGGCCUCCAGUCCCAUGUUGGGGAGCAGACGGUGUAAACUUCAGAUGAGGAAACCCAGUGGUCGUUGACGCAUGUGGAUUGAGUUUCAGAACGUGGGCUGAUUCACGGGGACAGGAUAAGAAUCAAGAAGGUCACACUCCUUUCAUUUCCUCGCAGAAGGCAACGAGCACAUCUUAGCAGAGUGGAAAACAAAAGGCUGCCACAGGGGAGAUGGAUGGCUGACGGUGAGUGUGUGUGUGUGUGUGUGUGUGUGUGUGUGUGAUGAAAGCUGAGACAGAGCAGACCCUCCAAAAACCCCUGAAACGCCCCAUUCCCUCAUCCUGAAUCUUUAAAUGUUCUCCGUUCUUCUACAACAAACUGACUCGUUUUAGGGUCAUUAUACAACAUCGGUAACUUAUUCAACUUUAGGAAAAAUCUUUUUUUUUUUUUUUAUGAGCUGAGAGAAACACAAAAAGAAACAAAGCCACACGUGGAUCUUUAACUGUAGCAGCGGCCAACGCUGUUCUGAAUAGACUGAGAUAAUACAACAUUACACAGCCAGGAAGUAGAUAAUAACAUUUGAAAACCCUGCUGUGAUAAAUAAAUAAUAACAACAGUGAGGGGACAGCAGGGGCUUCAUCAUCUAAGGGUUUUUAUUGAUUAACUGGAUUAGUCUCAUGAUUAAAAU